AGUGAACGCUGGCGGUAGGCCUAACACAUGCAAGUCGAACGGCAGCACAGUAAGAGCUUGCUCUUACGGGUGGCGAGUGGCGGACGGGUGAGGAAUACAUCGGAAUCUACUUUUUCGUGGGGGAUAACGUAGGGAAACUUACGCUAAUACCGCAUACGACCUACGGGUGAAAGCAGGGGAUCUUCGGACCUUGCGCGAUUGAAUGAGCCGCUUUCGGAUUAGUUAGUUGGCGGGGUAAAGGCCCACCAAGGCGACGAUCCGUAGCUGGUCUGAGAGGAUGAUCAGCCACACUGGAACUGAGACACGGUCCAGACUCCUACGGGAGGCAGCAGUGGGGAAUAUUGGGCAAUGGGCGGAAACCUGAUCCAGCCAUACCGCGUGGGUGAAGGAGGCCUUCGGGUUGUAAAGCCCUUUUGUGGGGAAAGAAAAGCAGCAGGUUAAUACCCCGCUGUUCUGACGGUACCCAAAGAAUAAGCACCGGCUAACUACGUG
RNAcentral lists this ribosomal RNA (492 nucleotides) under uncultured bacterium. RNAcentral's name for it is "partial 16S ribosomal RNA". It matches the Rfam family "Bacterial small subunit ribosomal RNA", at positions 29 to 507 of the family's 1533-position model. The record is from RNAcentral.